RNAcentral lists this long non-coding RNA (299 nucleotides) under Ananas comosus (pineapple). Its description in RNAcentral is "long non-coding RNA (ACOM_LNC024016)". Lineage: Eukaryota; Viridiplantae; Streptophyta; Magnoliopsida; Poales; Bromeliaceae. The record is from RNAcentral.
GUUUAAAACUGAAGUUAUAUUUUAAUUUCUGGGUUAGUUACUUACAAAAGUAGCGACUAUCUAAUUUGGCAAGUGACAAAAUUAAAUAAAGAGACAAAGUAUUGAAAACUAUUAAUUUGGUAUUUGGUGGGCAUGUAUUUUUUAACAUUAUCCGUAUAAUUGAUUUUAAUUGGUAACAAGUUGAGUAGGUUAUUAAUGUUUAAAAGUCAAUCAUAUCCUUAAAAAAUAAACAGUUAUAUUUAAAUGAGCCGGUGUAUUAAAGCUUUUUUUAAAAAAAAAUUAAAGUAUAUAUUGAGAAG